RNAcentral lists this ribosomal RNA (242 nucleotides) under uncultured bacterium. RNAcentral's name for it is "partial 16S ribosomal RNA". It matches the Rfam family "Bacterial small subunit ribosomal RNA", at positions 91 to 334 of the family's 1533-position model. The record is from RNAcentral.
ACGACCGGCGCACGGGUGAGUAACACGUAUGCAACCUACCUAUUACAGGGGGAUAGCCCGUUGAAAGACGGAUUAAUACCGCAUAAUACAUUGUUUUCGCAUGGGAAUAGUGUUAAAGAUUAUUGGUAAUAGAUGGGCAUGCGUUUCAUUAGCUAGUUGGUAAGGUAACGGCUUACCAAGGCAACGAUGAAUAGGGGAACUGAGAGGUUUAUCCCCCACACUGGUACUGAGACACGGACCAG